GGUUCGAUCCUGGCUCAGAUUGAACGCUGGCGGGAUAACUUUACACAUGCAAGUCGAACGACACAGCUGGAACUUCGGUCUGGUGGCGAGUGGCGAACGGGUGAGUAAUGUAUCGGAACGUGCCCUGGUAGCGGGGGAUAACUACGCAGAAAGCGUAGCUAAUACCGCAUGCCCUUCGGGGAAAGCCAGGGGGACGCUUCGAGGGCUCUGCUAUUGAAGCGGCCGAUAUCGGAUUAGCUAGUUGGUGGGGUAACGGCUCACCAAGGCGACGAUCCGUAGCUGGUUUUGAGAGGACGACCAGCCACACUGGGACUGAGGAAAGUUACGGCCGAAUCUACCCGGGAGGCAGCAGUGGGGAAUUUACGGACAAUGCAGGAAACCCUGAUCCCAGCCAUCCGCGUGUGCGAUGAAGGCCCUUCGGGUUGUAAAAAGCACUUUUGGCAGGAAAGAAACGGCACGGGAUAAUACCCGUGCAACUGACAGUACCUGCAGAAUAAGCACCGGCUAACUACGUGCCAGCAACCCCGCCCCGGUAUGCGUAGGGUGCAAGCGUUAAUCGGAAUUAUGGCGUAAAGCGUGCGCAAAGGCGGUUCGGAAAGAAAGAUGUGAUGCUUAAUCCAGAGUAACACGGAACUGCAUUUUUUAACUACCGAAAAGACUGAAGUGUCUGUCAGAGGGAGUGAAUUCCGCGAUGUGGCAGUGAAAUGCGUAGAUAUGCGGAGGAGCACCGAUGGCAGAAGGCAACCUCCUGGGAUAACACUGACGCUCAUGCACGCGCAGUGGGGAGCAAACAGGAUUAGAUACCCUGGUAGUCCACGCCUAAACGAUGAUAAUCGCCGUUGGGGCCUUCGGGCCUUGGUAGCGCAGCUAACGCGUGAAGUUGACCGCCUGGGAAGUACGGUCGCAAGAUUAAAACUCAAAGGAAUUGACGGGGACCCGCACCAGCGGUGGAUGAUGUAGAUUAAUUCGAUGCAACGCGAAAACCUUACCUACACUUGACAUGUCUGGAAUCCCGAAGAAGAGAUUUGGCAGUGCUCACCCAAAGAACGGAACACGGGUGCUGCAUGGCUGUCGUCAGCUCGUGUCGUGAGAUGUUGGGUUAAGUCCCGCAACGAGCGCAACCCUUGUCAUUAGUUGCUACGAAAGGGCACUCUAAUGAGACUGCCGGUGACAAACCGGAGGAAGGUGGGGAUGACGUCAAGUCCUCAUGGCCCAUAUGGGUAGGGCUUCACACGUCAUACAAUGGUCCGGGACAGAGGGUCGCCAACCCGCGAGGGGAGCCAAUCUGAAACCCGAUCGUAGUCCGGAUCGCAGUCUGCAACUCGACUGCGUGAAGUCGGAAUCGCUAGUAAUCGCGGAUCAGCAUGUCAUGAUGAAUACGUUCCAGGUCUUGUACACCGCCCGUCACACCAUGGGAGUGGGUUUUACCAAAGUAGUUAGCCUAACCGUAAGGAGGGCGAUUACCACGGUAGGAUUCAUGACUGGGGUGAAGUCGUAACAAGGUAG
This 1506-nucleotide ribosomal RNA is filed under the name uncultured Bordetella sp. RNAcentral's name for it is "partial 16S-23S ribosomal RNA intergenic spacer". It matches the Rfam family "Bacterial small subunit ribosomal RNA". Lineage: Bacteria; Pseudomonadati; Pseudomonadota; Betaproteobacteria; Burkholderiales; Alcaligenaceae. The record is from RNAcentral.